UACGUAGGGGGCUAGCGUUGUCCGGAAUCAUUGGGCGUAAAGCGCGUGUAGGCGGCCCGGUAAGUCCGCUGUGAAAGUCGGGGGCUCAACCCUCGGAUGCCGGUGGAUACUGUCGGGCUGGAGUGCGGAAGAGGCGAGUGGAAUUCCCGGUGUAGCGGUGAAAUGCGCAGAUAUCGGGAGGAACACCAAUGGCGAAGGCAGCUUGCUGGGACGGUACUGACGCUGAGGCGCGAAAGCGUGGGGAGCAAACAGG
RNAcentral lists this ribosomal RNA (253 nucleotides) under uncultured bacterium. RNAcentral's name for it is "partial 16S ribosomal RNA". It matches the Rfam family "Bacterial small subunit ribosomal RNA", at positions 524 to 776 of the family's 1533-position model. The record is from RNAcentral.